RNAcentral lists this transfer RNA (76 nucleotides) under Syntrophorhabdaceae bacterium PtaU1.Bin034. RNAcentral describes it as "tRNA-Thr". It matches the Rfam family "tRNA". From Rfam's summary of the family: Transfer RNA (tRNA) molecules are approximately 80 nucleotides in length. Their secondary structure includes four short double-helical elements and three loops (D, anti-codon, and T loops). Lineage: Bacteria; Pseudomonadati; Thermodesulfobacteriota; Syntrophorhabdia; Syntrophorhabdales; Syntrophorhabdaceae. The record is from RNAcentral.
GCCGACAUAGCUCACAUGGCAGAGCGGCUGAUUCGUAAUCAGCAGAUUGAAGGUUCGAAUCCUUCGGUCGGCUCCA